AUUGGUGAUAGGGGAUCCAGAGAAAGUUCGUCUGCUGCUGAAUGGGCACAGGGGAAGGAUUUUUCCAACUGGCUGGAUCAGCAGCAGCUACUUGACCCUGAAGGCUUUCAGGAGGGUAAAAGAUGGUCUUCACAGCCAUAUGCUUCUGCUCGCGUUUUGGAAUUAAAGCCUUUGUACCGAACAUCUUCAUACCCUGAGCAGCAACAACACCAUCAACACUUCUCUAGUGAACCAAUUCUUGUGCCCAAGUCUUCUUACACUUCGUAUCCUCUCCCUGGUGGACAAUCUCCUCAUGCUUCACCAAAUCAUAGUCAACUAAAUAUUCCACAUCUUGGUGGCAGUCCCCAAAUGGCAAUUUCUUUACCAAAC
RNAcentral lists this unclassified non-coding RNA (369 nucleotides) under Hevea brasiliensis (rubber tree). Lineage: Eukaryota; Viridiplantae; Streptophyta; Magnoliopsida; Malpighiales; Euphorbiaceae. The record is from RNAcentral.